Molecule: long non-coding RNA, 1755 nt
Organism: Cotesia glomerata
Lineage: Eukaryota; Metazoa; Arthropoda; Insecta; Hymenoptera; Braconidae
Exons: 4
Source: RefSeq, a predicted model, not a curated record
UUAAAUAUGAAAAAAGUAGGUGGCAGCACCAGUCGUUCACAAUCUUUUUUAGCAACCGAGUAACCGUCAAAUGAAUAAAAGUUUCGUACGAUUGAAAUUUAAAUCACCUGAUUAAAUUGUUUAUUAACAAUGAGAAAGUUUGAUAGUUGUCUACAAUAAAAUUUAAUAACUAGUAAUUAAAACAAUUAUAAACGUCAAGGCCGGGACGUUGAUAACAAUUAUGUAUACGUAUAUUGGAAACUACGAAACAUUAAUUAAAUUAUUUGCUAAGAGGUAUCUGACAACGUUAAAGUUCGUAUUUCUAAUUAGUAAAAUUAAUUCUCGACCUCGGUGACAAGGUACUCUAGUCUCAAUUAGUCUUACGGCAAUUGGCUGAGAAACUGACGUCUGGGACGUCAAUGCGAAAUUGCUUUUCCGAAUACAAUAAUCAGCUUACUGAUAAUAUAUCAUGAUUCACGAUGCACUGCACGUAAGUACUAAAUAUUAAUCUAUUUAUUAUAUACAGAGGUAUCGAAUAGCAACUUGUUAUUUAACGAUAAAUAAUAAAUAAAAUUUAUUGACACACAGGAGCUGGAUAAAAUGAAAGAUUAAUAAUAAAUGUUCACUGAGCAACAAAAUAAGGACAAAUUGCUUCGAUCUCGAUCUUGAUAUUGCUAAGAAUAUUCAAAUGAAUAGAACUCGGAGUUGAGUGAAUCGUUUGAUAUCUUCGGCUUGAAAUACCGCAGAGUAAUGCGCAUUGAAAUCAAUGAUUUGAUUUGAGGUUCUCCGAUUGAUCAAAUGCACGCAUGAAUUUACACCAGAUUAUUGAAAAUAUUUAAAAGUGUAUACUUGGAAAAUAAAAAUAAAAACAAGAUGUGAAAUAAUCGAUGAGCAGGAAGGUGAUGUGUUGAGAGAUGAUCGAUUGGACAAAUGAGUACACUUGAGUUUUAUUUUCCGAAGUUUUUUUGAAUCAACGAAAAUCAACUGUGCAGAAAAAGGGUUAAUAAAUAUUUUUAGUUUUUCACCUGGUGUACCGUACAAGUUUUGGGAAAACAGCCCGCGGAUUUACAAAAUGAAAAUGUAGCAGACUCGUGAGCACCGUCUGUUCACUUAUUCCAAUAUCUCGAAAACCAGUAGUGACAGAUGCUGUUGUACGAACAGAGCCACGAAUACGUGCCAUCACGAAUGUUAUUACUCUAGAUCUUGAGUACUGAACUGAAGAUAACCCACCCAAGUAUAUACCUUACAAAGUUUUCCCAUAAAAUAAUAUUUUAUGCUGAAUAACGAGAAAACAGUUUUUAUUAAUUAUUCCAACAAAUUCUUGGAUAAAUUUUCUGAAGCUUUUGACCUGGUUGAAUAGAGGAAUAAGAAAAGUAUCAAUUGAUAGCUCGAGAAUAUUUCAAAAGCUGCUUUUUAGGGAAAUAAAUAAAAACCCGUAGUAUUGUAAAUUCUAGAAAUAUCAAGACGUCAGAAAACAGUUAUAUUUCAAGCAAAAAGUAUUAUUUAAUAUUUAAAAUAAAACGCUACUGGUCGCAAAUAAAUAUUUAUAGAAAAAAAUAACUGAUCCGCAAAUAAGAGCGGUGUAUUUUGAGGGUACUCGUAUUUUUAAUGGUAUUCAAAUGACAUUAAUAUGUUUUGAUAGACCAUUAGGCUGUGAACCAAAGUACCCUGUCGUAUUGAAUCAUGUCAUUCUGACGCUAAUGUAAUGUUCGAUGUUGGCAUCACUGAGAAGACACAAUAGCACACAUAGCCCGAUCGGAAAUACUGCUCUUUCGA